AACAUCGAUAACAAAUACGAUGAUCGCAGUAAGCUGACGCCUCAAUACCAGACGGAGAAUACUGAAAGAAGACACAGCAUAAUGUUCUCCGUGGAUAAACUCGCGAACUGUUGCUUGUUUGCUGUAUGUUUGUGACACACCUAUCGGCACUUACACAUCCCAGACACGGUGAAGACAUGGCAAUGAACGAAAACUGCCGGGAACGAAGUCGAGCCCUCUUUUUAGUUAGUCUCCUCCUCUUGACAUCAGUGUUUUCCACACACGCUCAGUCAGCGUCGCCGCUGGAGUCGUCGUCCCUGCCAAUCUUCGUGGUGAAGCUGAUGAUGGUGAUAUUGACCGUCGUUUGUCUGCCCAUCGCGUUUAUGUGGUUUAGGACCACACGAAAAAAUCAGAGGAAUUUACUCAAAGCAAAUGUCAAGAUGGAAGAAGUGAGUUUGAUUCUAUAACUCACUUCAUGAACUGGGCAAUGGUUGUUAUAAGCUGUGUGUUUAAUUAGUACACAAAGUGUUGGCAUAACUUGCAAAAAGCUUAAAAAAUGUCUCACUAAUGAUUGAGCAAUAUCCGGGGAUUUCGUGAGCGUUAAAUCUUAAAUGGAAAUUGACUAAAAAAAAAAUAAAAAAUAAAAAAUAAAAAAUAAAAAGAGUAUUAAACACGGUAACCAAAAUGA
Pomacea canaliculata is the source of this 667-nucleotide long non-coding RNA. RefSeq lists it as uncharacterized. NCBI's taxonomy places the organism in Eukaryota, Metazoa, Mollusca, Gastropoda, Architaenioglossa, Ampullariidae. The transcript has 4 exons. The record is from RefSeq and is a predicted model, not a curated record.